Long non-coding RNA from Pipra filicauda (Wire-tailed manakin), 793 nucleotides. RefSeq lists it as uncharacterized. The transcript has 4 exons. Lineage: Eukaryota; Metazoa; Chordata; Aves; Passeriformes; Pipridae. The record is from RefSeq and is a predicted model, not a curated record.
AGGGGGCCCCUGGGCCUCCACGGCCUUGGUUUGGCCAGGGCCGGGGUGGUUUCUUUGCUGUUUCACCCCACUGCCCUGAAGAGGCAGUGGCACAGGGCUUGAGAGGCCAGCCGGGGGUUGGAGCCAGCCCCCUUCCCCCAGCAGGCAGGCAGGGCAUCGGAGCCGAGCCAUAGAUGGGCCGACGGGUGGCCCGGGAGCUGCAGAAGCAGUGGAGAUCGUGCAGAGCUGGAAGAAUUCCAGGCAGAGGAUGAGAGAAAGACUUGAAGCAGUCUCACUGCCACUUUCCACUCCCCCCCCCACCAUCGGCAGGGGAGGAGGAGACCCUGAGUUGAGACUGAGCGACGCAGAGGCAGGCCGAGGGGCUCGGAGGUGAUUUGGGCGGGGGCAGCCGAAAACCAAAAGAGGAAUGUGGGGGAGGAAUGCCUCCUCUGACAUGUGGAAGUCGAGCUGAAGCUGCAGGUGAAACAGAGAGAAGCCAAACCAAGCAGACUUUUUCUGGGUGAAGCAUGUCAGGAGACAAGAGCCUGAACUACAAAUGUGCUGUGAAUAUUGCAGCCUCCACUGAGCCUGCAGGUGAUUGCUAUGGGAAUUACUACGAUGAAAAUAAUUUAGGGUGAAAGGCAGAUGAAUUCUUAAGAACUUAUUGGGAACUUGAGGCUCCCACACACAUAAAAGUCAGAAGUGGACCCAUACCAGGUGAAGAUGUGCUGUGGUGGUGAUUACAGCUCUUGAUGCUCUUCUAUCUUGCCAUCUCCUUUUCCCUGACUCUCAGAAAGAAUAAUAAACAGCAACC